Molecule: ribosomal RNA, 468 nt
Filed under: uncultured bacterium
Lineage: Bacteria
Description: partial 16S ribosomal RNA
Rfam family: Bacterial small subunit ribosomal RNA
Source: RNAcentral
GACGAACGCUGGCGGCGUGCUUAACACAUGCAAGUCGAACGGAAAGGCCCUGCUUUUGUGGGGUGCUCGAGUGGCGAACGGGUGAGUAACACGUGAGUAACCUGCCCUUGACUUUGGGAUAACUUCAGGAAACUGGGGCUAAUACCGGAUAGGAGCUCCUGCUGCAUGGUGGGGGUUGGAAAGUUUCGGCGGUUGGGGAUGGACUCGCGGCUUAUCAGCUUGUUGGUGGGGUAGUGGCUUACCAAGGCUUUGACGGGUAGCCGGCCUGAGAGGGUGACCGGCCAAAUUGGGACUGAGAUACGGCCCCGACUCCUACGGGAGGCAGGAGUGGGGAAUAUUGCACAAUGGGCGGAAGCCUGAUGCAGCAACGCCGCGUGCGGGAUGAAGGCCUUCGGGGUGUAAACCGCUUUCGCCUGUGACGAAGCGUGAGUGACGGUAAUGGGUAAAGAAGCACCGGCUAACUACGUG